RNAcentral lists this ribosomal RNA (593 nucleotides) under uncultured bacterium. RNAcentral's name for it is "bacterial SSU rRNA". It matches the Rfam family "Bacterial small subunit ribosomal RNA", at positions 194 to 783 of the family's 1533-position model. The record is from RNAcentral.
CUCUGUUUACAAGCUAGCGCCACGGGAGGAGCCCGCGCCCCAUUAGCUAGUUGGUGAGGUAACGGCUCACCAAGGCAACGAUGGGUAGCCGGCCUGAGAGGGUGAUCGGCCACACUGGAACUGAGACACGGUCCAGACUCCUACGGGAGGCAGCAGUGAGGAAUAUUGCGCAAUGGGCGAAAGCCUGACGCAGCGACGCCGCGUGGAGGAUGAAGGUCUUCGGAUUGUAAACUCCUGUCGUGCGGGACGAAUGCCUCGGUCGCUAACAUCGGCCGGGGUUGACGGUACCGCAGGAGGAAGCCCCGGCUAACUCCGUGCCAGCAGCCGCGGUAAUACGGAGGGGGCCAGCGUUGUUCGGAAUCAUUGGGCGUAAAGGGCGCGUAGGCGGCCGAUCAAGUCGAACGUGAAAUCCCCCGGCUCAACCGGGGACCUGCGUCCGAUACUGUUCGGCUAGAGUCCCGGAGAGGGUAGUGGAAUUCCCAGUGUAGCGGUGAAAUGCGUAGAUACUGGGAGGAACACCGGUGGCGAAGGCGGCUACCUGGACGGGUACUGACGCUGAGGCGCGAGAGCUGGGGGAGCAAACAGGAUUAGAU